UACGUAGGGGGCAAGCGUUGUCCGGAAUCAUUGGGCGUAAAGAGCGCGUAGGCGGUCCGGUAAGUCGGUUGUGAAAACUGGGGGCUCAACCCUCAGAGGCCGACCGAUACUGCCGGGCUAGAGUCCGGAAGAGGCGAGUGGAAUUCCUGGUGUAGCGGUGAAAUGCGCAGAUAUCAGGAGGAACACCAAUGGCGAAGGCAGCUCGCUGGGACGGUACUGACGCUGAGGCACGAAAGCCAGGGGAGCAAACGGG
This 253-nucleotide ribosomal RNA is filed under the name uncultured bacterium. Its description in RNAcentral is "partial 16S ribosomal RNA". It matches the Rfam family "Bacterial small subunit ribosomal RNA", at positions 524 to 776 of the family's 1533-position model. The record is from RNAcentral.